Pan troglodytes (chimpanzee) is the source of this 1390-nucleotide RNA transcript. It is a transcript of the gene named phosphatidylinositol glycan anchor biosynthesis class L, with no coding region annotated. The record is from RefSeq and is a predicted model, not a curated record. The transcript has 8 exons. NCBI's taxonomy places the organism in Eukaryota, Metazoa, Chordata, Mammalia, Primates, Hominidae.
CAUUCCCGGGUGAAGUUUUCCAGCCGGAGUCAGGGUCAGAGGCAGCCUUUCCUACUGCGCAGGCUCAGUGCUGCUUACCCAUCAUGGAAGCAAUGUGGCUCCUGUGUGUGGCGGUGGCGGUCUUGGCAUGGGGCUUCCUCUGGGUUUGGGACUCCUCAGAACGAAUGAAGAGUCUGGAGCAGGGAGGACGGCUGGGAGCCGAAAGCCGGACCCUGCUGGUCAUAGCGCACCCUGACGAUGAAGCCAUGUUUUUUGCUCCCACAGUGCUAGGCUUGGCCCGCCUAAGGCACUGGGUGUACCUGCUUUGCUUCUCUGCAGGAAAUUACUACAAUCAAGGAGAGACUCGUAAGAAAGAACUUUUGCAGAGCUGUGAUGUUUUGGGGAUUCCACUCUCCAGUGUAAUGAUUAUUGACAACAGGGAUUUCCCAGAUGACCCAGGCAUGCAGUGGGACACAGAGCACGUGGCCAGAGUCCUCCUUCAGCACAUAGAAGUGAAUGGCAUCAAUCUGGUGGUGACUUUCGAUGCAGGGGGAGUAAGUGGCCACAGCAAUCACAUUGCUCUGUAUGCAGCUGUGAGGGCCCUGCACUCAGAAGGGAAGUUACCUAAAGGGUGCUCUGUGCUCACGCUUCAGUCUGUGAAUGUGCUGCGCAAGUACAUCUCCCUUCUGGAUCUGCCCUUGUCUCUGCUUCAUACGCAGGAUGUCCUCUUCGUGCUCAACAGCAAAGAAGUGGCACAGGCCAAGAAUGUGGGUCUAGGAAAAACUUGCUCUAUUUAACAGGACAGCUGUGAUUGAAGCAUCCAAGUACAGGUCACUGGGGUGGGCACUGUUUUAUACAGAGACGAUUGCAAGAACUCUGCCUCAAAGAGCUUACGAUCAAAUAUGUCAGCUCUCAGUCUUUUUGGAGAAGUAGGAAAUAGGAAGAUAAAUCUGAGACUUAAAAAAACACAAAACAUUCAAGAACUUGAUGUCUUAAAAUUGUCCUACGAACAAAAGCUCUCUGAAAGCUCUGGCUUGGAAACUACUCUCAGAAUCCAGCUAACGCUCCAGGGAAGUGGCCUGAGUCAGGGAAGCUAAGUGGUAAAGAGCACAGGCUGGUAGUCCUGUGAUUGAAGCCAGAAUGACCAGCUGUGUAACCAAAGGCAAGGUGCUGAACCUUUCUCUGCCUCAAUUCUCUCAUCUGCAAAAUGGGAAAUAAUAAUGAUCCCAACCUCAGAGAACUGAACAAGAUAAUACAUGAAGGUGCAUAUCAAAGAGUCUCACAUGCUCUGCUGGAUCACACAAAAGUUGGGAAGAGAAGGAUGUCAAUUAGACUACAUCAAAAUCUGGGCAGAGGGAGGACAAAGAGCUGCCUAAAGAAACUGGUAGCUGGAGCAAACUGCAGAGAUCAA